CAUGUACAAGAGUGUUGUUGCAUACAAAAUUUUGACUUUUGUGGAUUUGUACACUU
This 56-nucleotide transfer RNA is filed under the name Xiphinema americanum. Its description in RNAcentral is "tRNA-Gln". Lineage: Eukaryota; Metazoa; Nematoda; Enoplea; Dorylaimida; Longidoridae. The record is from RNAcentral.